This 483-nucleotide ribosomal RNA is filed under the name uncultured bacterium. Its description in RNAcentral is "bacterial SSU rRNA". It matches the Rfam family "Bacterial small subunit ribosomal RNA", at positions 29 to 507 of the family's 1533-position model. The record is from RNAcentral.
AUGAACGCUAGCGGCAGGCUUAACACAUGCAAGUCGAGGGGCAUCGAGAGUAGCAAUACUUGUCGGCGACCGGCGCAAGGGUGCGUAACACGUGAGCAACAUACCCUAAUCAGGGAGGAUAACCGGAGGAAACUCUGCCUAAUACUCCAUAAUAUCAUCUUAUGGCAUCAUGAAAUGAUAAAAGAUUUAUCGGAUUCGGAUUGGCUCGCGGGACAUUAGCUAGUUGGCGAGGUAACGGCUCACCAAGGCUACGAUGUCUAGGGGUUCUGAGAGGAAGGUCCCCCACACUGGAACUGAGACACGGUCCAGACUCCUACGGGAGGCAGCAGUGAGGAAUAUUGGACAAUGGUCGGAAGACUGAUCCAGCCAUGCCGCGUGAAGGUUACUGUCCUAUGGAUAUUAAACUUCUUUUUUACGGGAGCAAUAAGGUGCACGCGUGCAUCGAUGAGAGUACCGUACGAAUAAGCAUCGGCUAACUCCGUG